RNAcentral lists this long non-coding RNA (249 nucleotides) under Gossypium barbadense (sea-island cotton). RNAcentral's name for it is "long non-coding RNA (GBAR_LNC017438)". Lineage: Eukaryota; Viridiplantae; Streptophyta; Magnoliopsida; Malvales; Malvaceae. The record is from RNAcentral.
GCGGAUCUAGUUUCCCUGAUAUUGCAAUUAAAAAGAUUGAAGCCACAACGGUGGAUCUUACUUCCCCGACGGUGCGGUGGAACAGAUUGAAGCUACGACGGCGGAUCUAGUUUCCCCAACAUUGCAGUUGAACAAAUUGAAGAUUACAGAUCUUAUCUCCCUAGACAGUAGUGGAGCAGAUCAAAGAUGACAGAUUUUACCUCCCUGAGGUUACAGUGGAGUAUAUUGAAGCCAGCAAUUCUAUUUCCC